Long non-coding RNA from Panonychus citri (citrus red mite), 1305 nucleotides. RefSeq lists it as uncharacterized. The transcript has 3 exons. The record is from RefSeq and is a predicted model, not a curated record. NCBI's taxonomy places the organism in Eukaryota, Metazoa, Arthropoda, Arachnida, Trombidiformes, Tetranychidae.
GAAAAUUAAUCUGACACCGGGUCUGUUCUGCGCAUGCGCAGUGCGGGUCACGUGAUAUUCGUCGCGUCACAUCCGGAACAAACCGGUUUCUUUUCUCUUUUCUUCUUCUCUUUCUAAAGGGAGAACAAAAUUCAUCCUCAUCUUCUCUCAAGUGAUGUAAUGUUUUUCUUUCUUUUCUUCAUCUUCUUUCUCUCUUUUCUUUCUUUCUUUUGAGUUUUUUUGUGGUUCAUCUUCUCUCUUUCCCUCUCAUCAUCUUCAUCUCUGUCUUUCUCGCAUUUUUAAAAAUAUCAUUUCUUGUUUUUAGUAACAUUUUUUUUUUCUUUUUUAAAUUCUUCCUUUUGCCAAUUUUGUAUUUGGUAGAUCGUGUAUCUCUCUCUCUCUCUCUCUAUCUCCCUCUCUUUCUCUAAUUAUAGUCUCUCUUUCUCAUCAUCAUCAUCAUCCUCCCUCCUCACAAAAGUAACUGUAAUCGUUUUAAUGGGUGUUUCACUUUUGUAUUAUUUUAGCUAUGCAAGGAAGUGGAAAAGGAUUAAUCUUAUCCAUUGGUGUUAUUCAUUAAUUUACUACAGAUGAUGAAGAUUAUGAUUUUUGGUUUCAGUUUGUUUUUCAGUGUCACAGGCUUAAUUUAUUUAUUGGUUAAUUGAUUUCUCUUCGUCAAUGACAACAGGAUGACACAUGAAUUUUUCUCUUCAAACCAGGAGAGAGAAGUAGAGAGAGAGAGAGAGAGAGAGUAUAUUGAGAACAGAAUUCAUUAUAAAUCUACUUAGUAGGUUUUCCUAGAGUUUCUCCUUGCGUCUAAAUUUGAAUACAUAACAUUGUAUCAUGAACAACAGUUACACACCAGUUAGAUGUUCUAAAAAUAAUCGUCCCCGGCUAAUUAACUGAUAAUCUCUGGACAAUUUUAGACCAAAUAAGUCUCGUUGGGACCAAUUUGUAUUAUUCAUGGGAAGAUAAAAAUCUUUUAUCGAAAUGUGAUAACAGUUAUUCAACAAGAAAUAAUAAUCACAAAAGAUUAUUGUCCUUAUGAUUAUGGUUUUCAUAAUUAAUCAUCAAUAUUACCUGGCAAAAUUUACAUUGGAAAGCAAGUUAAUUAACAAUCAACUCGAUCGUCAAGCGUUUAAUGACGUUGGUAGAUAAACUUUAUUUCAAUCAAAGGAUUUGAUUAUCAAGAUAAAUUUAAUCAUCAUAGAAAAUUAAUCAGAUCGGAUAAAACAAGACAAUUAUGGUAAAGAUUAAUAUGUCAACAAAACCAUUUAUGGAAUUGCAGUUAAUUUGUAAAACAACACUGAACAUUUUAAUUGCUCAACA